RNAcentral lists this ribosomal RNA (253 nucleotides) under uncultured bacterium. Its description in RNAcentral is "partial 16S ribosomal RNA". It matches the Rfam family "Bacterial small subunit ribosomal RNA", at positions 524 to 776 of the family's 1533-position model. The record is from RNAcentral.
UACGAAGGGGGCUAGCGUUGUUCGGAAUUACUGGGCGUAAAGCGCACGUAGGCGGACAUUUAAGUCAGGGGUGAAAUCCCGAGGCUCAACCUCGGAACUGCCUGCAAAACUGGGAGCCUUGAGGUAUGGAGAGGGAAGUGGAAUUCCAGGUGUAGCGGUGAAAUGCGUAGAUAUCUGGAGGAACACCCGUGGCGAAGGCGGCUUCCUGGCCAUAUCCUGACGCUGAGGUGCGAAAGCUAGGGGAGCGAACGGG